Molecule: ribosomal RNA, 253 nt
Filed under: uncultured bacterium
Lineage: Bacteria
Description: partial 16S ribosomal RNA
Rfam family: Bacterial small subunit ribosomal RNA
Source: RNAcentral
UACGGAGGGGGCUAGCGUUGUUCGGAAUGACUGGGCGUAAAGCGCGCGUAGGCGGAUCGGCAAGUUGGGGGUGAAAUCCCGGGGCUCAACCCUGGAAUUGCCUUCAAAACUCCCGGUCUUGAGUUCGAGAGAGGUGAGUGGAAUUCCGAGUGUAGAGGUGAAAUUCGUAGAUAUUCGGAGGAACACCAGUGGCGAAGGCGGCUCACUGGCUCGAUACUGACGCUGAGGUGCGAAAGCGUGGGGAGCAAACAGG